CAUUCGCUGCUUGCUGCUGCUAGUCCGUAAACAAGCAGUCUGAUGCUGCAAAACCUGCUUAUAAAAAAAAGUAAAUUAAUAGUGUUUGAUGUAGACAGUCGGAGUGACGGAUUCGAGGGCACCAUUGAAAGUGAAAGCACCAGGACUCUCCCGUCAGGUAUAUUUGACUGUCAGAACUGGCUGAGAUGGAUGAGCAGAGUGUUGAGAGUAUAGCGGAAGUCUUCCGCUGCUUCAUUUGCAUGGAAAAGCUGCGUGAUGCCCGUCUCUGCCCUCACUGUUCCAAACUGUGCUGUUUCAGCUGCAUACGGCGAUGGCUGACUGAACAGAGAGCUCAAUGUCCCCACUGUCG
Long non-coding RNA from Sinocyclocheilus rhinocerous, 349 nucleotides. RefSeq lists it as uncharacterized. The record is from RefSeq and is a predicted model, not a curated record. The transcript has 4 exons. Lineage: Eukaryota; Metazoa; Chordata; Actinopteri; Cypriniformes; Cyprinidae.